RNAcentral lists this transfer RNA (74 nucleotides) under Ixodes scapularis (black-legged tick). It matches the Rfam family "tRNA". Rfam says of the family: Transfer RNA (tRNA) molecules are approximately 80 nucleotides in length. Lineage: Eukaryota; Metazoa; Arthropoda; Arachnida; Ixodida; Ixodidae. The record is from Rfam by way of RNAcentral.
AGCCUCAUAGCUUAGUCGGUUAGAGCGUCGUGCUAAUAACGCGAAGGUCACAGGUUCGAUUCAUGUGUAGGCCA